This 28-nucleotide non-coding RNA is filed under the name Homo sapiens (human). Lineage: Eukaryota; Metazoa; Chordata; Mammalia; Primates; Hominidae. The record is from RNAcentral.
UGGGUGUUGGGUUUGAAAUGCCUCAUGG